CAUAUCAAUAAGCGGAGGAAAAGAAACCAACAGGGAUUGCCCCAGUAACGGCGAGUGAAGCGGCAACAGCUCAAAUUUGAAAUCUGGCCCCAGGCCCGAGUUGUAAUUUGCAGAGGAUGCUUUUGGCGCGGUGCCUUCCGAGUUCCCUGGAACGGGACGCCAUAGAGGGUGAGAGCCCCGUACGGUUGGACACCAAGCCUUUGUAAAGCUCCUUCGACGAGUCGAGUAGUUUGGGAAUGCUGCUCUAAAUGGGAGGUACAUUUCUUCUAAAGCUAAAUAUUGGCCAGAGACCGAUAGCGCACAAGUAGAGUGAUCGAAAGAUGAAAAGCACUUUGAAAAGAGGGUUAAACAGCACGUGAAAUUGUUAAAAGGGAAGCGCUUGUGACCAGACUUGCGUCCGGUGAAUCACCCAGCUCUCGCGGCUGGGGCACUUCGCCGGCACAGGCCAGCAUCAGCUUGCCGUCGGGGACAAAAGCUUCAGGAACGUAGCUCCUCUCGGGGAGUGUUAUAGCCUGUUGUAUAAUACCCUUCGGCGGGCUGAGGUACGCGCUCCGCAAGGAUGCUGGCGUAAUGGUCAUCAGCGACCCGUCUUGAAACACGGACCAAGGAGUCAACCUUAUGUGCGAGUGUUUGGGUGUUAAACCCCUACGCGUAAUGAAAGUGAACGCAGGUGAGAGCUUCGGCGCAUCAUCGACCGAUCCUGAUGUUCUCGGAUGGAUUUGAGUAAGAGCAUAUAGGGUUGGACCCGAAAGAAGGUGAACUAUGCGUGUGUAGGGUGAAGCCAGAGGAAACUCUGGUGGAGGCUCGCAGCGGUUCUGACGUGCAAAUCGAUCGUCAAACAUGCGCAUGGGGGCGAAAGACUAAUCGAACCUUCUAGUAGCUGGUUCCGC
RNAcentral lists this ribosomal RNA (890 nucleotides) under Colletotrichum fioriniae. RNAcentral's name for it is "LSU rRNA". It matches the Rfam family "Eukaryotic large subunit ribosomal RNA", at positions 39 to 960 of the family's 3401-position model. Lineage: Eukaryota; Fungi; Ascomycota; Sordariomycetes; Glomerellales; Glomerellaceae. The record is from RNAcentral.